Acanthosepion pharaonis is the source of this 112-nucleotide non-coding RNA. The record is from the annotation of a GenBank genome assembly. Lineage: Eukaryota; Metazoa; Mollusca; Cephalopoda; Sepiida; Sepiidae.
UAUGGCCAUAUCAUGAUAAAACACCUGUUCCCGUACGAUCACCGAAGUUACGCAACGUCGUGUCUGGUUCUUACCUAGACGUGUGACCUCUUGGUAAUACCAGGUGUAGUAA